AAAACUUUCAAUAACAGAUCUCUUAAUUCUAACAUCGAUAAAGAACGUAGCGAAAUACAAUAAGUAAUAUAAAUUAUAGAAUUUAAUAAAUUAUCGAAUUUUUAAACGUACAUUACACUCACUAAUAUUCUAAUAAAUAUACCUAUUCGAACGUUAUUUUAAUUAUUAAACUCUAUUUAUAUUAGGGAUUUACAAUUAUCUACAAUCCUUUAAAAUUAAUAGCGGAUUCGUUAGUUAUACUAAGCAUAAUAAUUCUAUAUCGCUAUAGUCGUACAGCGGGUUCUUACUAUAAAACCCCCUAUUUCUAAAAUUAACCUCGGAUUAAAUAGGAAUACCCACUAAAUUUAAACAUAUUAAUAAGUAGAGGAAAAGAAACUAAUAGGGAUUACCCUAAUAAUAGCGAGUAAAGUAGUAAUAAUUUAAAUUUAAAAUCUAACUUCGGCUUGAAUUAUAAUUUAUAGAGGAAGCUUUUAGUAAAGCACCUUCUAAAUUCCUUAGAAUAAAGUACUAUAGAAGGUAAGAGCCCUAUAUAGUCGGAUGCCGAUUUAAUAUAAAGCUCCUUCAACGAAUUAAGUAGUUUAAGAAUAUUAUUUAAAAUAGGAGGUAAAUUUCUUCUAAAAUUAAAUACCGGUUAGAAACUAAUAGCAUAUAAGUAGAAUAAUCGAAAGAUGAAAAGUACUUUGAAAAAAGGGUUAAAUAGUAUAUAAAAUUAUUAAAAGGGAAGCGUUUAUAAUUAAAUUUACACUAUUCCAAUUAUUUAAUAUUUUUACUAAUAUAUUUAAGACGGCUUAAACUAAUAUUAAUUUUAAUAGGGGGAUAAAGGUCCGGGGAAUAUAGUUCCUCCGGGAGUAUUAUAACCCCGGGCGUAAUGCCUUCGCCGGGACCGAAAUUCGCGUAUUUAUAAAGAUACUAAUAUAAUAGUUAUUAACGACCCGUCUUAAAAUAUAGACUAAAGAAUUAAAGUUUUAUACGAAUAUUUAGGUAUAAAACCUAUAUACGUAAUAAAAGUAAAUAUAAGUAAAAGCUUCAGUAUAUUAUUAACUAAUUUUAAUAUAUUUAGAUGGAUUUGAAUAAGAAUAUUAAACUUUAAAUUUAAAAAAUAGUAAAUUAUAUUUGGAUAGGGUGAAGUUAGAGGAAACUUUAGUAGAGGUUCGUAGCGGUUCUAACGUAUAAAUCGAUUAUUAAAUUUAAGUAUAGGGGCGAAAAAUUAAUCGAAUUAUUUAGUAGUUAGUUACCGCCGAAGUUUCCCUUAGGAUAGUAAUAUUAUUCUUUAGUUUUAUAAAGUAAAGCGAAUAAUUAGGGAUUCGGGGGCACUUUUUAACCUUUAUCCAUUUUUAAACUUUAAAUAUAUAAGAAACCUUUAUUAUUUAAUUAAAUAUAGGUAUUCGAAUAUAUUAAUAUUAGUAGGCUAUUUUUAGUAAGUAGAAUUAAUAAUACAGAAUAAACUAAAUAUAGGGUUAAAGUACCGGAGUAGACGCUUAUUAAAUACUAUAAAAGGCGUUAAUAUAUUUUAAUAGUAGGACGGUAAUUAUAAAAAUUAGAAUUUACUAAGGAUUAUAUAAUAACUUACUUACCGAAUAUAUUAGCUUUGAAAAUAAAUAGUACUUAAGCGUCCUACUUAUACCCCGCCCUUAGGGUAGAAACGAUACUUUAAGGAAUAAGUAGCCGUAGAGGUUAGUAAUGAAGCUUAGGGCGUAAGCCUAGGUUGAACGGCCUCUAAUAUAGAUUUUAAUAAUAGUAAUAAAUAUUUUAAUAAGAAUUUGAAGGAUCGAAGUAGGGAAAGGUUCUAUAUAAAUAGUAGUUAGAUAUAAGUUAAUUAAUUUUAAAUUAUAAGGAAGUUCCGUUUUAAAGGGGCAUUUGUACUUUAUAUAGCGAAAGGGAAGCCGGUUAAUAUUCUAGUACUUAAAUAUAAAUUUUAUACGGUAAUACAAUUAAAUACGGAGAUAAUAGUGGGGGCCCCGGGUAGAAUUCUCUUUUCUUCUUAAUAAUCUAUUACUUUAAAAAUAGUUUAUUUGGAGAUAGGGUUUAAUAGUUGGAAGAGCCCGAUAUUUUUAUUAAAUCCGGUACACUUUUAAUAUCCCUUAAAAAUCUAUAGGAGGGAAUAAUUCUUAUACUAAGUUGUACUUAUAAUUAUAGUAGGUCUCUAAAGUGAAUAGCCUCUAGUUAAUAGAAUAAUAUAAAUAAGGGAAAUUAGUAAAAUAGAUCUAUAAUUUCGGGAAAAGGAUUAACUCUAAGGGUUAAGUACGUUAGGCUUUAAGUAAACGCCCUAAAAAUAGAUUACUACUAAUUAGGCAACCGGCUAGCGGCUUUCAAUAUCCGGGUAUAAAAGCCUUUAAUAAACUUCGGUCGUCUAAUAUAUAUUUAAUAAUUAAUUUAGAAUUGGUAUAGAUAGGGGGAAUUUAAUUAUUUAAUUAAAAUAUAGUAUUACGAUAGUUAGAAAGUAGUAUUAAUAUAAUAUAAUUUUUAUUUAGUAUUCUAAAUAUUAAAGUAAAGAAAUUUAAUUAAGUGCGGGUAAACGGCGGGAGUAACUAUAAUUCUCUUAAGGUAGUUAAAUGCUUCGUUAUUUAAUUAGUAAUAUAUAUAAAUAGAUUAAUAAAAUUCCUACUAUUCUUAUUUAUUAUUUAGCGAAAUUAUAGUUAAAGGAACGGGCUUGGUAGAAUUAGCGGAGAAAGAAGACCCUAUUAAAUUUAAUUCUAGUUUAAUAUUGUAAAAAAAUAUAAGAGGUGUAGAAUAGGUAGGAACUUCGGUGUUGGUAAAAUACUACUACUCUUAUUAUUUUUUUAUUUAUUUAAUUAAAUAAGGUUAGAUUUUCGUCCAACUUUUAGUUUUAAAGUCCUUUGCGGGCCAAUCCGGGUUGAAGAUAUUAUUAGGUAGGGAAUUUGGCUAAGGCGGUAUAUUUAUUAAAUUAUAAUAUAAGUAUCCUAAAGGGGGCUUAUAGAGAAUAGAAAUCUCUAGUAGAAUAAAAGGGUAAAAGUCCCUUUAAUUUUAAUUUUUAGUAUAAAUACAAAUUAUAAAAGUAUAGCCUAUUAAUCUUUUAGUCCCUCGAAAUUUGAGGUUAGAAGUACCAAAAAAGUUACUAUAGGGAUAAUUAGCUUGUAGCGGCUAAGCGUUUAUAAUAAUAUUGCUUUUUAAUCCUUCAAUAUCGGCUCUUCUUAUUAUAUUGAAAUAGAAUUCGGUAAGUAUUGGAUUGUUCACCUACUAAUAGGGAAUAUAAGUUAGGUUUAGAUUAUUAUAAAAUAAAUUAGUUUUACCCUAUUAAUAACUUUAUUAUAAUAAUAAUUGAGUUUAGUAUAAAAGGAACUACUUAUUUAAAUAAUUAGUUUUUGUAGUUAUUCGACCGGGUAGUACUGUAACGCUACUAUUUACUAGAUAAUAGCUAAACGUUUUUAAAUUAAAAUCUAUAUUAGAAUACGAUAAUACUUCUAAUAUAUUAUAGAUAUAUAAGAAUAAGCUCCGGCCUCGUAUUUUAAUAAGCGAUUCCUCUAUUGGCUUUGAAGUAGCUAAUAGUAAUUUGCGUAUUGUAAUUUUA
This 3529-nucleotide ribosomal RNA is filed under the name Neurospora crassa OR74A. RNAcentral describes it as "eukaryotic LSU rRNA". The stretch from base 312 to 3424 matches the Rfam family "Eukaryotic large subunit ribosomal RNA". The record is from RNAcentral. Lineage: Eukaryota; Fungi; Ascomycota; Sordariomycetes; Sordariales; Sordariaceae.